Molecule: ribosomal RNA, 468 nt
Filed under: uncultured bacterium
Lineage: Bacteria
Description: partial 16S ribosomal RNA
Rfam family: Bacterial small subunit ribosomal RNA
Source: RNAcentral
GACGAACGCUGGCGGCGUGCUUAACACAUGCAAGUCGAACGGAAAGGCCCUGCUUUUGUGGGGUGCUCGAGUGGCGAACGGGUGAGUAACACGUGAGUAACCUGCCCUUGACUUUGGGAUAACUUCAGGAAACUGGGGCUAAUACCGGAUAGGAGCUCCUGCUGCAUGGCGGGGGUUGGAAAGUUUCGGCGGUUGGGGAUGGACUGGCGGCUUAUCAGCUUGUUGGUGGGGUAGUGGCUUACCAAGGCUUUGACGGGUAGCCGGCCUGAGAGGGUGACCGGCCACAUUGGGACUGAGAUACGGCCCAGACUCCUACGGGAGGCAGCAGUGGGGAAUAUUGCACAAUGGGCGGAAGCCUGAUGCAGCAACGCCGCGUGCGGGAUGACGGCCUGCGGGUUGUAAACCGCUUUCGCCUGUGACGAAGCGUGAGUGACGGUAAUGGAUAAAGAAGCACCGGCUAACUACGUG